AUCCUUAUGCACGGGAA
This 17-nucleotide small nuclear RNA is filed under the name Saccharomyces cerevisiae (brewer's yeast). Its description in RNAcentral is "U4 snRNA fragment from Saccharomyces cerevisiae (PDB 4YHW, chain D)". Lineage: Eukaryota; Fungi; Ascomycota; Saccharomycetes; Saccharomycetales; Saccharomycetaceae. The record is from RNAcentral.